UGGGGGAUAUUGCACAAUGGGCGAAAGCCUGAUGCAGCGACGCCGCGUGGGGGAUGAAGGCCUUCGGGUUGUAAACUUCUUUUGCUCUGAACAAGGCGCACCAUGGGGUGUGUUGAGUGUAGGGGUUGAUUAGCGCCGGCUAACUACGUGCCAGCAGCCGCGGUAAUACGUAGGGCGCGAGCGUUGUCCGGAAUUAUUGGGCGUAAAGGGCUUGUAGGUGGCUGGUUGCGUCUGUCGUGAAAGCUCAUGGCUUAACUGUGAGUUUGCGGUGGGUACGGGCUGGCUUGAGUGCAGUAGGGGAGGCUGGAAUUCCUGGUGUAGCGGUGGAAUGCGCAGAUAUCAGGAGGAAUACCGGUGGCGAAGGCGGGUCUCUGGGCUGUUACUGACACUGAGGAGCGAAAGCAUGGGGAGCGAACAGG
RNAcentral lists this ribosomal RNA (419 nucleotides) under bacterium. RNAcentral describes it as "partial 16S ribosomal RNA". It matches the Rfam family "Bacterial small subunit ribosomal RNA", at positions 355 to 776 of the family's 1533-position model. The record is from RNAcentral.